CGGGGUGCUGCACCAGUGGGGAAUAUUGCACAAUGGGCGCAAGCCUGAUGCAGCCAUGCCGCGUGUAUGAAGAAGGCCUUCGGGUUGUAAAGUACUUUCAGCUGGGAGGAAGGGAGUAAAGUUAAUACCUUUGCUCAUUGACGUUACCCGCAGAAGAAGCACCGGCUAACUCCGUGCCAGCAGCCGCGGUAAUACGGAGGGUGCAAGCGUUAAUCGGAAUUACUGGGCGUAAAGCGCACGCAGGCGGUUUGUUAAGGCAGAUGUGAAAUCCCCGGGCUCAACCUGGGAACUGCAUCUGAUACUGGCAAGCUAGAGUCUGGUAGAGGGGGGUAGAAUUCCAGGUGUAGCGGUGAAAUGCGUAGAGAUCUGGAGGAAUACCGGUGGCGAAGGCGGCCCCCUGGACGAAGACUGACGCUCAGGUGCGAAAGCGUGGGGAGCAAACAGGAUUAGAUACCCCUGUAGUC
RNAcentral lists this ribosomal RNA (464 nucleotides) under uncultured bacterium. RNAcentral's name for it is "partial 16S ribosomal RNA". It matches the Rfam family "Bacterial small subunit ribosomal RNA", at positions 342 to 795 of the family's 1533-position model. The record is from RNAcentral.